AAAUUGAAGAGUUUGAUCAUGGCUCAGAUUGAACGCUGGCGGCAGGCCUAACACAUGCAAGUCGAGCGGUAGCACAGAGAGCUUGCUCUCGGGUGACGAGCGGCGGACGGGUGAGUAAUGUCUGGGAAACUGCCUGAUGGAGGGGGAUAACUACUGGAAACGGUAGCUAAUACCGCAUAACGUCGCAAGACCAAAGUGGGGGACCUUCGGGCCUCAUGCCAUCAGAUGUGCCCAGAUGGGAUUAGCUAGUAGGUGGGGUAACGGCUCACCUAGGCGACGAUCCCUAGCUGGUCUGAGAGGAUGACCAGCCACACUGGAACUGAGACACGGUCCAGACUCCUACGGGAGGCAGCAGUGGGGAAUAUUGCACAAUGGGCGCAAGCCUGAUGCAGCCAUGCCGCGUGUGUGAAGAAGGCCUUCGGGUUGUAAAGCACUUUCAGCGGGGAGGAAGGCGUUGAGGUUAAUAACCUUGUCGAUUGACGUUACCCGCAGAAGAAGCACCGGCUAACUCCGUGCCAGCAGCCGCGGUAAUACGGAGGGUGCAAGCGUUAAUCGGAAUUACUGGGCGUAAAGCGCACGCAGGCGGUCUGUCAAGUCGGAUGUGAAAUCCCCGGGCUCAACCUGGGAACUGCAUUCGAAACUGGCAGGCUAGAGUCUUGUAGAGGGGGGUAGAAUUCCAGGUGUAGCGGUGAAAUGCGUAGAGAUCUGGAGGAAUACCGGUGGCGAAGGCGGCCCCCUGGACAAAGACUGACGCUCAGGUGCGAAAGCGUGGGGAGCAAACAGGAUUAGAUACCCUGGUAGUCCACGCCGUAAACGAUGUCGAUUUGGAGGUUGUGCCCUUGAGGCGUGGCUUCCGGAGCUAACGCGUUAAAUCGACCGCCUGGGGAGUACGGCCGCAAGGUUAAAACUCAAAUGAAUUGACGGGGGCCCGCACAAGCGGUGGAGCAUGUGGUUUAAUUCGAUGCAACGCGAAGAACCUUACCUGGUCUUGACAUCCACAGAACUUUCCAGAGAUGGAUUGGUGCCUUCGGGAACUGUGAGACAGGUGCUGCAUGGCUGUCGUCAGCUCGUGUUGUGAAAUGUUGGGUUAAGUCCCGCAACGAGCGCAACCCUUAUCCUUUGUUGCCAGCGGUUAGGCCGGGAACUCAAAGGAGACUGCCAGUGAUAAACUGGAGGAAGGUGGGGAUGACGUCAAGUCAUCAUGGCCCUUACGACCAGGGCUACACACGUGCUACAAUGGCAUAUACAAAGAGAAGCGACCUCGCGAGAGCAAGCGGACCUCAUAAAGUAUGUCGUAGUCCGGAUUGGAGUCUGCAACUCGACUCCAUGAAGUCGGAAUCGCUAGUAAUCGUAGAUCAGAAUGCUACGGUGAAUACGUUCCCGGGCCUUGUACACACCGCCCGUCACACCAUGGGAGUGGGUUGCAAAAGAAGUAGGUAGCUUAACCUUCGGGAGGGCGCUUACCACUUUGUGAUUCAUGACUGGGGUGAAGUCGUAACAAGGUAACCGUAGGGGAACCUGCGGUUGGAUCACCUCCUUACCUUAAAGAA
RNAcentral lists this ribosomal RNA (1550 nucleotides) under Klebsiella pneumoniae. RNAcentral's name for it is "bacterial SSU rRNA". It matches the Rfam family "Bacterial small subunit ribosomal RNA". The record is from RNAcentral. Lineage: Bacteria; Pseudomonadati; Pseudomonadota; Gammaproteobacteria; Enterobacterales; Enterobacteriaceae.